AACGAAUACACGCGCUCAGCAAGACAAUGCGGUACUCUAGACAGAAAAGAAUAUAAAUUGCUUGUAUGUUAAUACGGAAAGGGUUUUUUUUGUUUCUUUACGUUAGUUUGUACACGCGUGUGUUCAUUUGUGUGUAAAUUAACAUUUGUAUAGUUGUAAAGUGUGUUUGCAAUAAGAGUAAAUGUAAAAUAUUAAUAUUUGUACAUGCGUGUGUACAUAAUGUUCUUUGGUUGAUUUUGUAAUUUGAAUUUGUUGCAUUUUAAAAAUUUGUAUCCCCUGCCCCUGGUGUUCACAUAUAUCGGGAAACGAGUACGCCGAUGAGCUAGUGAGUGUAUCUAAAAUCGGUUUUUAUGGAAAACUGGACUAUAGAUAUGGAGGCUCAUUUCGCCAAAACUCUUGUAAAAUGAAUGUGUUUACCGGCUCUAGAAAAAGACACCAAAACGAUUGUUGGUAUAUAUACAGAUGAAAAUGAACAGAAUAAGGCAGUUAAAGAAGAAGCCUUAUUCUCUUACAUUAGAGAGAUUUUGUUGUUGAAUGUAGAAUGCAGAAUAAUGUGCUGUCAUCAACCAAAAUAAUGA
This is a long non-coding RNA of Teleopsis dalmanni, 578 nucleotides long. RefSeq lists it as uncharacterized. The record is from RefSeq and is a predicted model, not a curated record. Lineage: Eukaryota; Metazoa; Arthropoda; Insecta; Diptera; Diopsidae. The transcript is spliced from 3 exons.